UUUACUGUAGCUUGACAUUGGGUCUUGGUACUACAUGUACAGGAUAGGUGGGAGGCUUUGAAACCAGGACGCAAGUUUGGGCGGUGACAUCCUUGGGAUACCACCCUUGUAGUACUGGGAGUCUAACAAUAGGCCAUGAAUCUGGUCUGGGGACACGGUCAGGUGGGGAGUUUGACUGGGGCGGUCGCCUCCAGAAAGGUAACGGAGGCGCUCAAAGGUUCUCUCAGUACGGUCGGAAAUCGUACGUAGAGUGUAAAGGCAAAAGAGAGCUUGAUUGCAAGACAUACAGGUCGAGCAAGGAUGAAAAUCGGACUUAGUGAUC
This 322-nucleotide ribosomal RNA is filed under the name Clostridioides difficile. RNAcentral describes it as "bacterial LSU rRNA". It matches the Rfam family "Bacterial large subunit ribosomal RNA", at positions 2100 to 2420 of the family's 2925-position model. The record is from RNAcentral. Lineage: Bacteria; Bacillati; Bacillota; Clostridia; Peptostreptococcales; Peptostreptococcaceae.